GUGUGGUCACUUCUCAUAUACUGUCAUCUCGCGGAUUUCAGGUGGUCAGUUCUCAUAUACUGUCAUCUCGCGGAUUUCAGUUGGUCAGUUUUCAUAUACAGUUAUAAUUCACGGAUUCAUAAUAGGGCGGUAAUAAUAAGAAAUAUUUUCGCCGAGUAUAUCGAGUCGCAAAAUGUAUAACGGAUACUAAUUGGUUAUUUUACUGUCCAUUCAAAGUUUAAC
This 222-nucleotide long non-coding RNA is filed under the name Mytilus galloprovincialis (Mediterranean mussel). Lineage: Eukaryota; Metazoa; Mollusca; Bivalvia; Mytilida; Mytilidae. The record is from RNAcentral.